CUAGUUUUUACAAAACUGUGCUUUGACUGUAUUUACAACGCGAAAAUGAGACAGUGGAUAUUAUGUCUGGGGCUUUUAUUGUGAAACGUUAGAAUGGAGGGAGUGCAUCUAAUGCCCCUGGGCUUUGUCUAUGUGGAGUAUUGUUUGCCUCUUGGUUAAGACUGGGAGCCUCUUGUUGUUUUAUACAAAGCGUAACUACACCCGUUCUGCACAACGUGAUUAGUCAAUGUUUUCCUUCUUAGUGCAAAAGCUCCCAAAAAAACUAAAUCGCGCUCGAGGAAAAGAGAAUUCACUUCGUAAUCUCUGCAUUCUCUGUGCAGGCGAUCCGCUAAAAUAAAUAACGACGUGUGGAUCACCUGACGGUUAAGGGCCCUUGCGAACGUUGGGAUCCGCGACCCUCGUGUUGCACUGGACGAAUGCACCAAACGCCACCGUUGAGCCGAGGGGGACAUUGGGGGGGGGUUGGGAGACGAGCCGCACCUGGGCACACCUGGGCACACCUGGGCGCCGCGUACCCUUCAGGUUCAGACGCUGUUUGAUGAACAGUGAGAAAGAAACCGAUGCUGUGACUCUUCAAGAGGAUCAACGGGUCUUAACUAUCAGAGAUAUGUUUAUUAUGGAGGAAGGGGGCUAAGCUGCCCCUCUGCUUCAUCAGCAUUCCCUCCACCCACAGCUGGCCCGCCCCAGAACUCAGGAGGGGGCCUUCUGAAACCCCCAAGCCCUCAUUCCCCCCCCCAUUGCAUUUUGGUCACUGGCUCGUCCUAAUGAAACUAAUAACAAUGAAAAGAUGCAACGGUUAUCUCGCCAUCUGAACCACGUCGGUCCAGCUUCACACACACGUUUCCAACUGGGUCGGAUCACGAGCGACACCUUCUCUCCGUCACGCCCGCGACGGCGUUCACACGUACUCAACCAGAGACCAUCACAUGUCACCGGAGGCUUCGACGCGUCCUCGACGUCUCGCCGCCGCUCCAUCACCACAAUAACAGCACAAAUGACGCGGACAGCCCGUCGUCCUCGCUCUCGCCUCAUGUUUCCAUCACUGCAUUUGAAUGGAGGGUGUUUGCUUGGUUUUGGGGGAGGGAGGGAGGGAAGGGGGAGGUGAAAGGUUUGACACGGCGUGCUUCCUGCAGUCCCUCCAGCUGCCCGCAGAGAAAACACAAGCAUUUCACACCCAACCCCCCCUUCACCUUUUGACCUUUAGCACAUUGACUGUGGCAGUAACCAGUGAGGGGGGGGGGGGGUAUUUAUUGAAGAAGGACUUUAGCGCCAAACACGUCGGCGAGGCUCAACGCUGAUGGCGCUUGGUGAACUGAUAUGAAUCGCUUUGAGCUCAACGGUGAAAAAUGACAACGGCCGUUGUUGACUUUUAAAGUCUUCUGCUUGAAGGGAAGAAUAUGUGAGACGGCCCAAGACGCGACCGGCGCGAAAGCAUGGGCGCCGUAACGCCACCAAUCUGAAAUAAACGAGCAUCCUUUUCAUCAUCUGCGGGAGGCCGUCUCACUCCCCAGCUUACGCCACAGCAGCAGAUGGCUGCGUUGAGACGGCACCAAACUGCGAGAGGAGACCGUCCCCCCGUGAGACACAAACACAAAAAACACGUCGCUCUCACUGGCCGUCCCGUGCCGGGGCGCCAACUACGACACGUGUAACCAAGAGACAUGCAGAGAAAGCGCCUGUUGUGACGUCAUUAAGUCCCCCGUUAUCACUCAAGUCCUGCUGCAAGGACGCCGCUCCAUCGGGACGACUUCUGUGGACAAAAGUCAGAUAACGUUGGCUGAGCUGUUAACCAAACACUGCUCCCUCCCCGACAGAGCCCAUCAUGUCUCCGUCAUGGACACCAUGUCUCCACGAAGAACAUCAUGUCUCCACGAUGGACACCAUGUCUCCACGAAGAACAUCAUGUCUCCGUGAUGGACACCAUGUCUCCACGAAGAACAUCAUGUCUCCACGAUGGACACCAUGUCUCCACGAAGAACAUCAUGUCUCCACGAUGGACACCAUGUCUCCACGAAGAACAUCAUGUCUCCGUGAUGGACACCAUGUCUCCACGAAGAACAUCAGGUCUCCGUGAUGGACCUCAUGUCUCCACGAAGACCACCACGUCUCUGUAAUGGACACCACGUCUCUGUAAUGGACACCACGUCUCUGUAAUGGACACCACGUCUCUGUGGUGGACUCCACGUCUCUGUGGUGGACACCACGUCUCUGUGGUGGACACCAUGCUGGGCCGGCUUGGUUUUAAAUAGGCCGUUAAAUGACGGCCCCCCACUGCGCAUCAGGCCCGCUGUUGGCCGCUGGCCGCCGGUGAACAAGUGCAGUGAGUAAAUUCAGCGAACUGUAACGCUGAAGAACGUGAACUAACGAACUAAACAUGACAGGAGAAUAAGUUCGCGCGUGCACGCGGUUACCGGGCGACGCGGCGGCUUCAUUGAU
Gasterosteus aculeatus aculeatus (three-spined stickleback) is the source of this 2436-nucleotide long non-coding RNA. The record is from Ensembl. NCBI's taxonomy places the organism in Eukaryota, Metazoa, Chordata, Actinopteri, Perciformes, Gasterosteidae.